Haemonchus contortus (barber pole worm) is the source of this 75-nucleotide non-coding RNA. NCBI's taxonomy places the organism in Eukaryota, Metazoa, Nematoda, Chromadorea, Rhabditida, Trichostrongylidae. The record is from Rfam.
GACACAAACUUGAAGUAGAAUAGUUGGGUAUGGUCAGCUGGUCUUACCAAUCCACUCUACUUCAAAUUUGUGCUC